GGCGGGUUGCCCGAGCGGCCAAUGGGAGCGGACUGUAAAUCCGUCGGCUUUGCCUUCGAAGGUUCGAAUCCUUCACCCGCCACCC
This 85-nucleotide transfer RNA is filed under the name Nocardiopsis alba ATCC BAA-2165. RNAcentral describes it as "tRNA-Tyr". It matches the Rfam family "tRNA". From Rfam's summary of the family: Transfer RNA (tRNA) molecules are approximately 80 nucleotides in length. Their secondary structure includes four short double-helical elements and three loops (D, anti-codon, and T loops). The record is from RNAcentral. Lineage: Bacteria; Bacillati; Actinomycetota; Actinomycetes; Streptosporangiales; Nocardiopsidaceae.